RNAcentral lists this ribosomal RNA (253 nucleotides) under uncultured bacterium. Its description in RNAcentral is "partial 16S ribosomal RNA". It matches the Rfam family "Bacterial small subunit ribosomal RNA", at positions 524 to 776 of the family's 1533-position model. The record is from RNAcentral.
GACAGAGGGUGCGAACGUUGCUCGGAAUUACUGGGCGUAAAGCGCGUGUAGGCGGGUGAUCAAGUCAGGUGUGAAAUCCCCAGGCUCAACCUGGGAACUGCACUUGAAACUGGUCGCCUUGAGUGUUGGAGAGGGAAGCGGAAUUCCUGGUGUAGAGGUGAAAUUCGUAGAUAUCAGGAGGAACACCGGUGGCGAAGGCGGCUAUCUGGACGGUUACUGACGCUAAGACGCGAAAGCGUGGGGAGCAAACAGG